UCUGCCCUACGGGACGCGGCAGUGGGGAAUAUUGCGCAAUGGGGGAAACCCUGAUGCAGCGACGCCGCGUGGGUGAAGAAGUAUUUCGGUAUGUAAAGCCCUAUCAGCAGGGAAGAAAAUGACGGUACCUGACUAAGAAGCCCCGGCUAACUACGUGCCAGCAGCCGCGGUAAUACGUAGGGGGCAAGCGUUAUCCGGAUUUACUGGGUGUAAAGGGAGCGUAGGUGGCGUGCCAAGUCAGGAGUGAAAACCCAGGGCCCAACCCUGGGACGGCUCUUGAAACUGACAGGCUUGAGGUCUGGGAG
Molecule: ribosomal RNA, 305 nt
Filed under: uncultured bacterium
Lineage: Bacteria
Description: bacterial SSU rRNA
Rfam family: Bacterial small subunit ribosomal RNA
Source: RNAcentral